AUGCUCCACUAGUGCAGAGGGGCGGCCACGUGAUCUUCCAUAUCCCAGGGUUGGCAUGAGUAUUCCAUUUUCAUUGUUUUCUGCCAAACCCUUUACGGUUCCUAUUUCGCUGGCUGUUGAUCAAGUGUUGUCUCUAGCUCUAGUGAACUCCGGUACUGCUUGGAACUUCAUCGACCAAGUCCUCGCCUCCUCCCUGAACUUAACCUCAUACCCGCUCACCUCUCCUUUUCCUAUCCAAGCUCUGGACACACAACCUUUGGGAUUCGGCACAGUGAUGCACAUCACAGCACCACUCGCCCUCACUGUGGGACCUAUGCACCAGGAAAGCCUUCCCUCCGCACCUGUACACAAGCUUUGGUGACUGGACCAACCAAACCCUCAAGACUGCCAUGGGCAAGUCCCUUGAUUGGUACCAGGAAGGGUGGGAGAACAACCUGAAGGUCAUUUUCUCUUUGCACACAGCAGCAUCCAGGCCUCCACCGACUGUGAACGUGAGCCGCAGCUGUUGACUGAGAUCACUGAAACUCCACCUGAUGUGGUGGAAGUUGUCAAACCCGAUCAGACCGCCUUAAAAGACCACCUUCAGGCGUAGACUGAGAAGGAUGUGGAGGUUUUUGACCAGAUGAGACUGAACAUGGACAAGGCACAGGAGAAACAGAAGGAGAGCUACCAGUGCAGAAUCAAGAUGGGGACCAAGUGCUACGACAUGCUGGCGAAUGACUUGGUUUAGAAGAAGAACAAAAGGAAGGGUUACCUCGGUGGAAGCCAACAAUCUUCUACAGUUGGAGCAGCUGGACGGUCGACCACUGAAAGCACUGACGCCCUACACUUCAGUGAAGCCCAAUAGACAAAGAUCAUAGUCUGCUUCUUCGUGCUCCGAGUCGGAGGGGGACCAGCUUGAGGUAAGCUAUACCUUCCAAAAGUGUUAAAGUACAUAUCUCCCAUUUAUAACACUGCACUAAUCACCACAUUUUCUCACAGUAAAGUGUAACCUGUGUUUGUCUCGGUCUUCUACCCUGUUCCCUUUAAAUUCUGCUCCUGUUCUCCUGGAGCUAGGGGUUCUGCCUAACACCCAGACGUGGAUCCACCUGAUGUCCUCCAUUACCAACCACCCUUCAAAUGUUCAUUACAUCAGCUACUGUUGUCAUUAUCUGUUAAGUUUUCUUGCUCUAUCAUAAUGUGAGAUCCAGAUGAACAAAAAAACUACACGGAUUUGCAUAUGAAUGGAGUGGAUAUUAGCUGACUUCGUAAUCUGUAAAGUAAAUAACUUUAAUGUGUCAAGCAGAUGCCACUUUCUUUGCCAGUUCUGUAACGUAGCGAUGUUUAAGACAUGGAUUUCAUGUUGUAAUGUUAACAAGGUACCCAAAAGUAGUUUGAAUUAAUGUUUUCAUUUUAUUAGUUAAGCAACUUGUUCAAACAGUGAAAUUGUGGAGGUAAUCUGCCUUGUUUGCAUAGCGAUGAUGAAAAUAAUGUUAUUUAGGCUGUAAUCUCAAACUCUAAUCAUUAGGUCAUCACACCAUUGAUACUGCAACGAACGCUAAUAGUUUUUAGAAUCCCAUUGUGACGCAGAGGACACUUUUUGUCAUGACAGGCCCGAUUCCUUCCUUGGGCGGAGUAUGCCCAGAAUUAGUUGUCAUUCCUCCACCGGGCUGACUCCCUUCCAGUGUAUUCUGGGUUACCAGCCAGCCCUGGCCCCAUGGACUCCAAGCCAGACCGAAGCGCCAUCCGCCUCAGAAGGAGCAGGUGGUUCGCCACAGCAGUGAGGCAUGUCGUGGAUAUUCUAAUCCAUAAUGAGGAGAGACAUGAACCAUUAACAAUCAGAUGUUCUUUAUUCAAAAAGUAUUAAUAAGGGAGCAAGUCACCAUACACACAGAGUGCAUAGAGAGAGCUCAGAAAUUCUGAGUUGGGGCUUGCUUUGUAUAGCCCAACCUUGUUACAUUUCCUUAAUCCACCAAAACUGCCUCAAUGUGUCGAACCAACUGAUAUCUACUGGAUGAGGUGGCCAAAUAUUCUGAGUUCUCUUGUGAGUAUUUAAGAACUGUUUGGUCUUAGAAUAGAGGAUACGGAGAGACUUUGUUCAGAACAGAGAUGCCUGGUUUUUUUAAACAUGCAAGUUUUAGAGUAGAGGGUGGUGUUAAGAACACGAUGUGCACAGCCGUAGUGGAUUCGGUACAGAGUGAGGUGAAAACAGCAAUUUACACAACCAGAGUAACAUGAUAGUUAUGUACAAUCAUUUAAAGUAAUACAUAUUUUUUUUUCCCACAGGCGCCCAUGUUCGAUCCUGGUGAUCACAUCUGGCUCUCCAUCAGGAUCCUCCCACUCCGUCUGCCAUGUGAGAAGCGGAGUCCACGGCCAGUGGUUCCUGGUCCCCUGGCUGACGAUGUCCCGCACAACACUCCUGGACAUUGAGGAAGCCCCGCCUAUGUCAUCAGAUCCCUCCUGGACUCACGACGUCAUGGGGGGUCGGCUUCAGUAUAUGGUGGACUGGGUGGCGUAUGGUCCAGGAGAGCGGUGUUGGGUUCCAGUGGAUGACGUUCUGGAUCCCUACAUAAUCUGAGAUUUGCACCUUUGCCAUCCGGAUCACUACUUGCCCUCGGGGGGUGGUGUACACUAUCACAUCUCCUCCCCUUCGACGUCAAAGGUCUACUAACCACUUCUUCACGCACACCUGCAUCUCAUCAGUCACAACUGGACCUCAUUACUCCCUGCUUACUUACCUUUCUAAUAGCACUCUUUAGAAACAAAACUAGCUGAAAACUAGUAACUAUGUCAGACGCUUCUCUUGUUUUGUUUCAUUCCAUGUUCAUUGAUAUUAAACUCACUGCACCUGCUUCCUGCAUCUACGUUACACCUUAUAUGUUGCGUUUAUAUUUUUGUUCAGUAUACAUUCCCAUAUUCAUCUUCCUUGGUGUGUUUAAAUAAAGUUCCUUUAUAACUCUAA
Molecule: long non-coding RNA, 2941 nt
Organism: Salvelinus fontinalis (brook trout)
Lineage: Eukaryota; Metazoa; Chordata; Actinopteri; Salmoniformes; Salmonidae
Exons: 7
Source: RefSeq, a predicted model, not a curated record